Equus asinus (donkey) is the source of this 2541-nucleotide long non-coding RNA. NCBI's taxonomy places the organism in Eukaryota, Metazoa, Chordata, Mammalia, Perissodactyla, Equidae. The record is from Ensembl.
AUUCUGGAAAUCAAUAUAUGCUGCCCUCACUUAUUAAUUAAGCACACAGGUAGGAAUGUGAGGGAGUCAAAGCCUGGAACGUGCCCCGCCUCCUUGCCCGUCUAUCCCAGCAUCCCUGGUGGCUGCUUCUGCUCAUCCACUGGUCUCUUUAAUCCAGGAUCUUCAAGGCUGAGAGAUCCAGAAAGGAAGGGACCACGGAGGUUUUGUUCACCAUGGUAUAUCCAGGCUUUUCACUCCAAGCCAAGUGGAACAUCAAAUAUUUUUUGAAGGAAUGAAUGAAAUGAGUCAGCUUUUUGGCCUUAGAUGAAUUGUUGCCCCUGGCAAGCAUGGGUACUGUUGUCACACUUGGCUUCCCUGUGGCUGUGAGAUCCUGAGCAUUUCCCCAAAAGAGGUUUGAAAUACAGCUGUUCCACCCUCAGUACCUUCCCUUACCACAGCCUCACCAAUCAGCCCUCUAGUGGUGUUUCUGAAGGAAACAUCUGGAGAUUAUGGCUACCUUAAAAAUGAAGUUUUGCUUUAUUUUUAAAAACACCCAAAAGACGAUGAGUAUUUUUAGUGUGUAUUGUAUGACGAAAUUUAUUACAGUUUGCCUUUGUACGUGUAUUUGAUUCAAAAUUUGCUUCUACAUCUCUAAGAAUUAUCAAAUACUAUUGAACUAUUAAUAUGAGUAAUAGUUAAGAGCUAGGUUCUGGAUAAGUUCAAAUUUCAUUCUUUUGUUCAUCAGCUGUAGGAUCUUGGAUGAGUCAUUUGACGUUUCUAAACUUCAGCUGCCUCAUUUAUAAAAAAGGGAUAGUAGCACUUACUUGACAGCAUUGUUGUGGGAUUAUAUGAGGUCGUGUAUGUAACGAUGUUACCUAGUACCAUGCAUAUAGUAAUGAUUUGAUAGAAUAUGAGUAUUAUUCAUAAAUAAUUGUAGAAAGACAGCUUAGUGUAAUAGAAAGGGCACUAAGGAGAGUAUCAAUAAUCUUGAGUUCAAGUCCUCAUUCUACCAAUCACAGCUGUGUGACAGUAGAAAUGUCAUGUGACCUCCCCAAGUCUUAGUAUCCUCAUCUGUAAAAAGUGGCAAAGAAAAGUGGCCUGACCUACACGGAGGCUUAUUUGAAGGAUUAAAUAAGACAAAAAUGUAAAAGCACUUUAUAUACUAUAAAUCACUAUAUACUAUGUGCAAAGCUUUAUAAAGCCAUUGACUUUUCCUUUACAUUAAAAAUAGGAUCGCUGUGACUCAAUAUUAAAGAAAAGCAGGUGCAGGGUUCAGAUAGCUCAAAAUUCAGCUGCUUCUAAAAUGGGAAAUAAAAAUUUUGAUGUCACCAUCUAAGACUCAGUGAAUUUUGGCAGCAUUCCACUUGCUUAAUUGUUCUGUUAUUAAAAAAACAAAACGCAGCCAGCAGGGCUAUAAAAACUCUCAAUAUAUUUGCAAAUUGAUUUUUCCAGAGCACACAUUCAAUGUCCUGGAAUUCCAGGCAGUAUUCUUGGACUCAUUUCCUGAGUUCACUUAUGGAAGGUAAAUACCACCCUGGAGAGGAAAAUGAAGCUUGCCAUCAAAUCACUGUUCUUUCCAUCUGACACAUUAAGUUUGCUUUAUGCUGAAGUUAUUUUCACAUUCACGUGAAUUACUACCCAGGUUUCUCUCUCCUUUGAGUGGUGUAGCAAGUGAGCCAAGGCUCUGACAACUUCUUUACAGGGUGGAUUAUUUAUUAUUUUAAAGCCUCUUGUAUAUUUAGUGACCAAGUCAUUUCUAUAUUAAUUCAUGCUAAAGGACCCUGGAAGCAUAGCACUGUCAUAUAUUUUUUGGUGUCAUUUAUUCAUAGAUAUCAGGUAUAUGUUACUCUAGAAAAAUGGUUCAGCUGAUGUGGGUGACCUUUUUGGUUCUUUCCCACCCGGAGUCUGAGUCUGACUGAACAAGUUGUUAACUUCAAGGGGCAUACUAAAGCUGACUGAAUUCUCUUCUAGUUUCAUUUCAUUUAUCACUUAGAAUUGCUUGAAGAGACCAAUUCAAGGCAGCAAACUCAUGCUUAGUGUUUUAUUAUCUGCUAUAUAUAUAUAUAUAUAUAUGUCUUUCACCAGCUUCAGCUCUAAGACAUGCAUAAUAGGUGGAAUACAUUCUAGAUACUGCUACACUGAUGUCAUCCUUAAUUUUCUUAUCCCUACCCUUGUCAUCCAAUAAAAGCAAGUCAUGUUGAUGUCUCUUGAUUCAGCCUACCUCUUACCAUCCUCACUGCCUAAGCCAGCAUCUGCAAUAGUUUAACAGGUAUUUUUGCUCAUCCAUUAUUGUCACCUCCAAUUCAUUCUCUGCCCUGCAGCUGGAGUGAGUGAUGCAGAACAUAAAUUGAAUCAUGUCUCAUCCUCGCUAAAAACUUACAGUGGUUACCCACUGCUUUUAGUGUAAAGACCAGAAUCCUUAUAGAGCGGCUCAUGAGGCAUGAAUAUUCUGAUCUUUCCUAUCUCCAGACACAAUGGCAAAACUCUUCUGCCAGCUACAGUAACCUGCUCUCACAGCUCCCACUGUCUUGUUUCUUCCACUUCUGGCCUUUGCAGAAUGCU